Molecule: transfer RNA, 69 nt
Filed under: Striuntius lateristriga (spinner barb)
Lineage: Eukaryota; Metazoa; Chordata; Actinopteri; Cypriniformes; Cyprinidae
Description: tRNA-Ser
Source: RNAcentral
GAGGAUGUACGGAAAAUUGUAAGCACUGCUAAUUCUUACACCCCGCGGUUAAAAUCCGCGGCUUCCUCA